This is a long non-coding RNA of Beta vulgaris subsp. vulgaris (sugar beet), 632 nucleotides long. RefSeq lists it as uncharacterized. The transcript has 3 exons. Lineage: Eukaryota; Viridiplantae; Streptophyta; Magnoliopsida; Caryophyllales; Amaranthaceae. The record is from RefSeq and is a predicted model, not a curated record.
UGAAAUUUUCCACACAAAUUCAACAACAAUUCAGAAAAAAAUAAAAUCAACUAAAAGAAUUUGGAACAAGAAUUUUCAAAACUUUCAACUCCUCUGUUCUUCUGUUUCGGCCACCACCACAACCACCUCACAGCCACCCCGUCCCACUUUCCGACCACCUUUCGCGAGCCCACACCCAGCCGCACCUUCCCGCACCCUGUCGCGCCCAGCACCACCUCUCUCGCGUCUCCUUCGACUCCCCCCUGCACACUCGUCUCUCUCUCUCUCCUCCGCGACACCACCGCACAUCAGCCCCUCACCUUUCUGCCGUCACUAUUGCCGUCGCCGUCACCGCCGCGAACUGCCGCCACCAGCAGGCCUCCGUCGCUGACCCACAUUCUUUCUCUCGCUCCUGCGUGUGUGUUACUGAACUCGUUCCUCGGAGCUCAGUAAGGACGAUAUCAAGGACAUAAGAAGGGGAUUAUUAUUAUUCUGCAAUCAAGGUACUGCUGGGGACGAUGGUACUGCGUAGUGGCAAGGAUUACCACCUUAUUAAAUCAUCUAGUAAUAGUGCUACUAACUUGUAAGGUUAACUUAACUAGAAUGUAAGACCAUAUACUUUAAUAUAAAUUAUCAUUGUCAUGUCAUGUAAC